Molecule: long non-coding RNA, 1767 nt
Organism: Alosa sapidissima (American shad)
Lineage: Eukaryota; Metazoa; Chordata; Actinopteri; Clupeiformes; Clupeidae
Exons: 2
Source: RefSeq, a predicted model, not a curated record
CUGUCAGGGCGAAACUAUGUAACUAGGGACCAAACUCAUUCCGUGGGUCACACACAAAAGCAGCUGGAAAACUCCCCUCUCAAUUGUUUGACACAAUAGUGUUUUUGUACGUAUGUGUGUGGUGUUUUUUUUUUUUUUUUUUUUUCUAACGUGGUAUUGAAAUUGUAGCAGCCAAUCUGCCGUAGUCGUCGUCUAAAGUGUUAGCGACUGAUAGCUUGACCUGUGCAAUGUAUACACACAUACAUACGUACAAUCAUAUCUACACUCACAAAUUCUCUCUCACACGUACACGCACCCAAAUACCAGUGCACAAACAUAACCACACACACACACACUACACACACACACACACACACACACACACACACACACACACACACACACACACACACACACACACACACACACACACACAUAAGCCCAGCAGGAAAGGGGGGUGGAGGGUGGGGGCUCCAAAACAAAGCAAGCAACCCUCCCGUGGCUUCCCUCUAAGAAUAGAACAAAAUAAGGGAAAAUUGGGAUGGGGGGGGGGAGUGAGAAUUCCUCUUGGAUUUUAAAAGAAAGACUUUUUUUAAAAGAAAGAAGAAGAAAAAAAACUGCAGCUGUUGACAAAAAAAAGUAUUUAAAUGCUGUUCUAUGCUGUAAAUCACUAAGACCGUUCGUUUGUCCGAUUUCAGUCUUAAUUUUAAUUUUUGUCAGUGUUGUAUACUGUGAAUAUAUCCAUGAAGUUAUCAGUAUUUAAUUUUUUACCCUCCCAAUGAAACGGAGGAUGCAAUACAUUUUUUAAAAAUGAUACAUUGUAAUGUUAUCUUUAAUCAAUACAUUUUAAAAAAGAGAGAGAAAGAGCCUCAUCUUUAGCCUUUGUGCACUGUGGUAAUUUGUAAUUCUCUAGUCUUUGUUUUGAUUUUACCUUUUCACGUUAUACAGAGACAAACUGACAACAUGUCACCAGUAUCUCUCUAUGAACAAUGAUCUCAAAAGUGUUCUGGAAAGAUGUAUCCUGUUUAUGCAUUCAUGUUUAUAGCAAGAAGGUUCACAUUGAGAAGACUUGGGAAAAGUUGAUACAGUGGCAAAGAAUGAGUGACAUGUUACAGUGGGUCGACAUUAAGGAGUGUCUAGAUGGUUUCCUUAUGGAACUUUUGUUUUUCUGUGUAACUCCAGUUGGCAUAGCAAUAGACUUCUGACACUAUAUCUAAGUGCAAGUGUUUUACUUGUUUCAGUUCAGACUGGAAGAAGUUGAACAGGUGACUUGAUCAGUAUUCUGUAUUUGCUCAUGAUGGCAGCCCUCUGCUGUUCAAAUGUAUCACUACUGCCCUCUAAUGCUCAGUUAGCUUCAGUGCAGUCCAGACCGUCUUCUGUUGCUACAAAUACCACACACAUUGCAAGCCUGUUUUUCAUCCAUUGCUUUUGUUUUGUUUUUAACCUUAGCCAUGAAUUACUGUGUACUGUGUGCUUUGACCUGCUGUAACUCCUUGUGCAUCUUCAGUUAGCCUUUGCAUGUAUACGAUAAGUCAUACACACCAAUACACUGUUUUAUAAAUCCGUGAUGGAUCAACCACUCAUAUACUUGUAUGAAAGAAAAGCUCAAAAACAAAUAGAUUCAUCCUGCCCCUCCACCUCAUGUCUCCAAUAACAUGUCUUCCAUUGUCCCUCUUGGCAGUGUGCCGGUGCUCGACGGCCGGUAACGUGAUCGCCGUCUGUCAGUGGAUGUGUUCGGUGUUCAGAGUGUAAAUAGACGUUUGUUAAUAAAAAGUGUACUUUCCAUCA